Long non-coding RNA from Gossypium raimondii (Peruvian cotton), 1077 nucleotides. RefSeq lists it as uncharacterized. The record is from RefSeq and is a predicted model, not a curated record. NCBI's taxonomy places the organism in Eukaryota, Viridiplantae, Streptophyta, Magnoliopsida, Malvales, Malvaceae. The transcript is spliced from 2 exons.
GCAGCGGAUACGAACUCUAAUUUUGAAACUGUGUGCAGCCUCAAAAAAAAUUCUCUCCAGAACCAGAACCACCAUAAACACCACCUUGUAGCCCUUGACCACUAUAUGUAAAAGAGGAAACUCGCACCGUGUUGGAAGCAUUUAGGUCGUCGUAAGUGCAAUUAAAGCGAUAGAAACAGCGCUAUGCCAAAUGACCGAACCUGAUGUAGAUCUAACACUGCACUCUCGACCGGAAACCACGCCCACGCAAACACCCUCCAUGCACAUCGCGCGACAAAUCUGAGUCAGCCACCGCAGUAACCAAAGGUGGUUCAACAAGAUGAGCUUGCAUCGGAACCUCACGCGCCACUCGCAUCUAUCGACUCUCAAACUCUAAGAGAACAUCGACUAAACGCUGAAAAGGAAGAGGCUCCGUCAAGAAUGAGGCCAAAGUCAACACAGCAUCAAAGUCCGACGAGAGGCCAGCUAAAACAACUUCUACCUCUGACACUACCGAUCCAGAGGCUGCAAGUAACACAAAAAUAUUUUCUAUUUUUGCAACAUAUUCUUUUACAGUUAAUUCGCCAUUCUUUAUAGAAUGCAGAUCAUGUUUAAUACGAGAAAAUUUUGCACCAGUUAAAGCAGCAAAAAGAUGAUUCACUGUGCUCCAAAUUUCACAUACAGAUUUAGCAGAGAUGUAUCUGGAUUUGGAAGAAGUGCACCUUCUGGAGAUGCGAUGAACCGAGGUGGAGCAGACAACAUGCCCUCCAAGAAUCCUUGUAGCUCAUAUCCUUCUAUUAUCAACCGGAUAUGUUGCUUCUAUUGAACAAAGUUUCCUUCCUCUAGCUUCACCGUGUCAUGGCGAGGCAAAGAUUGAACCAAGGAUGCACUUGAAAAUGACAGACUCAUAGGAUCAGCAGAGUUAGAAUCUGUUGACGGUGCCAUAACACGAAAAUGGAAGCACGUACCAGGACUAGGCGGCUGAUACCAUGUAAGAUACUAUGCAAAAUUAUGUAUGAACAGAAAAAUAAACUAUAGUGUAAUUCUUUAAUCUCUAUUCCUUAUCUUUGAAUGAACACAUUGAUGAGAUUAUAUACA